This 496-nucleotide ribosomal RNA is filed under the name uncultured bacterium. RNAcentral describes it as "partial 16S ribosomal RNA". It matches the Rfam family "Bacterial small subunit ribosomal RNA", at positions 28 to 507 of the family's 1533-position model. The record is from RNAcentral.
GAUGGACGCUGGCGGCGUGCCUAAUACAUGCAAGUCGAGCGAACGGACGAGAAGCUUGCUUCUCUGAUGUUAGCGGCGGACGGGUGAGUAACACGUGGAUAACCUACCUAUAAGACUGGGAUAACUUCGGGAAACCGUAGCUAAUACCGGAUAAUAUUUUGAACCGCAUGGUUCAAAAGUGAAAGACGGUCUUGCUGUCACUUAUAGAUGGAUCCGCGCUGCAUUAGCUAGUUGGUAAGGUAACGGCUUACCAAGGCAACGAUGCAUAGCCGACCUGAGAGGGUGAUCGGCCACACUGGAACUGAGACACGGUCCAGACUCCUACGGGAGGCAGCAGUAGGGAAUCUGCCGCAAUGGGCGAAAGCCUGACGGAGCACGCCGCGUGAGUGAUGAAGGUCUUCGGAUCGUAAAACUCUGUUAUUAGGGAAGAACAUAUGUGUAAGUAACUGUGCACAUCUUGACGGUACCUAAUCAGAAAGCCACGGCUAACUACGUG